RNAcentral lists this ribosomal RNA (562 nucleotides) under Shigella sonnei. RNAcentral's name for it is "partial 23S ribosomal RNA". It matches the Rfam family "Bacterial large subunit ribosomal RNA", at positions 353 to 920 of the family's 2925-position model. The record is from RNAcentral. Lineage: Bacteria; Pseudomonadati; Pseudomonadota; Gammaproteobacteria; Enterobacterales; Enterobacteriaceae.
CGCGAUACAGGGUGACAGCCCCGUACACAAAAAUACACAUAUUGUGAGCUCGAUGAGUAGGGCGGGACACGUGGUAUCCUGUCUGAAUAUGGGGGGACCAUCCUCCAAGGCUAAAUACUCCUGACUGACCGAUAGUGAACCAGUACCGUGAGGGAAAGGCGAAAAGAACCCCGGCGAGGGGAGUGAAAAAGAACCUGAAACCGUGUACGUACAAGCAGUGGGAGCACGCUUAGGCGUGUGACUGCGUACCUUUUGUAUAAUGGGUCAGCGACUUAUAUUCUGUAGCAAGGUUAACCGAAUAGGGGAGCCGAAGGGAAACCGAGUCUUAACUGGGCGUUAAGUUGCAGGGUAUAGACCCGAAACCCGGUGAUCUAGCCAUGGGCAGGUUGAAGGUUGGGUAACACUAACUGGAGGACCGAACCGACUAAUGUUGAAAAAUUAGCGGAUGACUUGUGGCUGGGGGUGAAAGGCCAAUCAAACCGGGAGAUAGCUGGUUCUCCCCGAAAGCUAUUUAGGUAGCGCCUCGUGAAUUCAUCUCCGGGGGUAGAGCACUGUUUCGGCA